Long non-coding RNA from Ictalurus furcatus (blue catfish), 1014 nucleotides. RefSeq lists it as uncharacterized. NCBI's taxonomy places the organism in Eukaryota, Metazoa, Chordata, Actinopteri, Siluriformes, Ictaluridae. The record is from RefSeq and is a predicted model, not a curated record. The transcript is spliced from 3 exons.
CAGUAAAGAGAUUUUAUACUGGAACCAUAAAGAUAGAGUGAAGAUCCUUACAGAUAAUAUUAUACAGCUUACAGGAAUCUGUCUAUUGUUAUUGUAAAGGUGCCACAGCUUCCUGUAGGUGAUUUAAACUCAAACUCUGGCCAAGUUCAGGCUAGUGUUAUCGCACAUUAAUAGCAUAAACCAAUUCUUAUCAUUGCAGUGUGAGUGUUUUGGUGGCUUACAAUAAAUCACCCUGUAUCCUGGUGUACAGAGGUCAGAACGGAAAAUAUACCUCCCUCAUUAUAAUCACUAACACCUUUGAGCAGAAACAGAGAUCUAUGAUCAGGUAUUAUAAUUGAGAUUACCGUAAACCACACAUGAAUAGCAGGAAUAGCAGUGAUGGUUCCUCGUGUACUGAGUGCAACUUAUGGGAUGGACUGAUAUAAAUGGCAGGCUGGGAACCUCAUUCAACAGAUUACUCUCAUUCAACAGAUUAUUCUGCCAGACAGACACAACCUGAGACUUAAAAAUGUCAGUCAUCAUCAUCAUCUUGAAUGUUUGGAUUCAGGAUCAAAAACUUCCAGGCCCAAGCAAAUGCUAAAGCGUCUUCUGCUCAGUGUUCCUGGGAUAAGCUCUGGAUCCACCACAACCCUGACAAGGAUAAAAUGGUUACUGAAAAUGAAUGAAUGAAAAAUGCCAAAUGGGGCAUGUGCGGUGCAGCUCGAUUGACCCACAAUCAGUGUGUAAAGCCUAACUGUACUGCGCUUGCAACCAAUCACUGAUCACCAUUGUUCCCCAUGACCAGUUACUGAUUACCACUGUUUUCCAAUGACCAAUCACUGAUCACAACUGUCAGUCCCACCCUUGCAUUUAUUUGGUCUUCUUUUUAAACUUCCUUCUUGAAGAUAUAGUAAUAAACAUUUCCCUACUAUUCAACUUUCACAAAUACUCAGUCAGCACAUCUUUUUUGUUCUUGUAUAGUAUUUUGUAAAUGUACUUAGUUCAAAGAUGACUUGUUUAUGUAAGAAAUAACUU